UCCCUGGUAUCUCAGAUGGUAAAGAAUCUGCCUGCAAUGCAGGAGACCCAGGUUCAAUCCCUGGGUCUGGGAG
Non-coding RNA from Bos taurus (domestic cattle), 73 nucleotides. Lineage: Eukaryota; Metazoa; Chordata; Mammalia; Artiodactyla; Bovidae. The record is from Rfam.